RNAcentral lists this ribosomal RNA (492 nucleotides) under uncultured bacterium. RNAcentral's name for it is "partial 16S ribosomal RNA". It matches the Rfam family "Bacterial small subunit ribosomal RNA", at positions 29 to 507 of the family's 1533-position model. The record is from RNAcentral.
AGUGAACGCUGGCGGUAGGCCUAACACAUGCAAGUCGAACGGCAGCACAGUAAGAGCUUGCUCUUACGGGUGGCGAGUGGCGGACGGGUGAGGAAUACAUCGGAUUCUACUUUUUCGUGGGGGAUAACGUAGGGAAACUUACGCUAAUACCGCAUACGACCUACGGGUGAAAGCAGGGGAUCUUCGGACCUUUCGCGAUUGAAUGAGCCGAUGUCGGAUUAGCUAGUUGGCGGGGUAAAGGCCCACCAAGGCGACGAUCCGUAGCUGGUCUGAGAGGAUGAUCGGCCACACUGGAACUGAGACACGGUCCAGACUCCUACGGGAGGCAGCAGUGGGGAAUAUUGGACAAUGGGCGCAAGCCUGAUCCAGCCAUGCCGCGUGGGUGAAGAAGGCCUUCGGGUUGUAAAGCCCUGUUGUUAGGAAAGAAAAGCAGCAGGUUAAUACCCCGCUGUUCUGACGGUACCCAAAGAAUAAGCACCGGCUAACUUCGUG